GAAUUGAUUGAAGUGGUGAUGGGGACCGACAUGUGUCCUAAUAAUCGUUGGCAAUUCUUUGCUUGGUGCAACAAGUUCCUUCCUAAUGGGGAUAGAUUCUAUAUAGUCGGGUUGGCCGCGGUCACCUGGGCUAUUCGGCUAGCUCGAAACCGAGCUACAUUUGAGCAUAAGAAGGUUAAAACUCCAUUUGAGAUUGUUUUUCCCACUUGUUCUUUUCUCUUGUAGUGGGCAGGUCUUCAGAAGGAGAGCGACACGGCGAUCUUGCCCGGAGGCACGGAGCGGCUGCAUAGCAACAUGAUGAACUUGAUGAAGAUUCGCGCGGCUGCUAAGAGCUCGAUCGAUGGACGGUAG
Molecule: ribosomal RNA, 351 nt
Filed under: Triticum aestivum (bread wheat)
Lineage: Eukaryota; Viridiplantae; Streptophyta; Magnoliopsida; Poales; Poaceae
Description: partial small subunit ribosomal RNA
Source: RNAcentral